AUUGAACGCUGGCGGCAGGCCUAACACAUGCAAGUCGAACGGUAACAGGAAGAAGCUUGCUUCUUUGCUGACGAGUGGCGGACGGGUGAGUAAUGUCUGGGAAACUGCCUGAUGGAGGGGGAUAACUACUGGAAACGGUAGCUACUACCGCAUAACGUCGCAAGACCAAAAAGGGGGACCUUCGGGCCUCUUGCCAUCGGAUGUGCCCAGUUGGGAUUAGCUAGUAGGUGGGGUAACGGCUCACCUAGGCGACGAUCCGUAGCUGGUCUGAGAGGAUGACCAGCCACACUGGAACUGAGACACGGUCCAGACUCCUACGGGAGGCAGCAGUGGGGAAUAUUGCACAAUGGGCGCAAGCCUGAUGCAGCCAUGCCGCGUGUAUGAAGAAGGCCUUCGGGUUGUAAAGUACUUUCAGCGGGGAGGAAGGGAGUAAAGUUAAUACCUUUGCUCAUUGACGGUACCCGCAGAAGAAGCACCGGCUAACUACGUG
Molecule: ribosomal RNA, 490 nt
Filed under: uncultured bacterium
Lineage: Bacteria
Description: partial 16S ribosomal RNA
Rfam family: Bacterial small subunit ribosomal RNA
Source: RNAcentral